RNAcentral lists this ribosomal RNA (484 nucleotides) under uncultured bacterium. RNAcentral's name for it is "partial 16S ribosomal RNA". It matches the Rfam family "Bacterial small subunit ribosomal RNA", at positions 30 to 506 of the family's 1533-position model. The record is from RNAcentral.
AUUGAACGCUGGCGGCAGGCUUAACACAUGCAAGUCGAGCGGGGAAAGGUAGCUUGCUACCUAACCUAGCGGCGGACGGGUGAGUAAUGCUUAGGAAUCUGCCUAUUAGUGGGGGACAACAUCUCGAAAGGGAUGCUAAUACCGCAUACGUCCUACGGGAGAAAGCAGGGGACCUUCGGGCCUUGCGCUAAUAGAUGAGCCUAAGUCGGAUUAGCUAGUUGGUGGGGUAAAGGCCUACCAAGGCGACGAUCUGUAGCGGGUCUGAGAGGAUGAUCCGCCACACUGGGACUGAGACACGGCCCAGACUCCUACGGGAGGCAGCAGUGGGGAAUAUUGGACAAUGGGGGGAACCCUGAUCCAGCCAUGCCGCGUGUGUGAAGAAGGCCUUUUGGUUGUAAAGCACUUUAAGCGAGGAGGAGGCUACCGAGAUUAAUACUCUUGGAUAGUGGACGUUACUCGCAGAAUAAGCACCGGCUAACUCUGU